Molecule: unclassified non-coding RNA, 289 nt
Filed under: uncultured fungus
Lineage: Eukaryota; Fungi
Description: partial contains 5.8S rRNA, ITS2 and 28S rRNA
Rfam family: Eukaryotic large subunit ribosomal RNA
Source: RNAcentral
AAGGAGUCUAACAUAUCUGCGAGUAUUUGGGUGACGAACCCGAGUGCGCAAUGAAAGUGAACGUAGGAGCCACGCGCAAGCUGCAGCUUCGACCGCUCUGGAUCUUUAGUGAUGGAUUUGAGUAAGAGCAUAUAUGUUGGGACCCGAAAGAUGGUGAACUAUGCCUGAAUAGGGCGAGGCCAGGGGAAACUCUGGUGGAGGCUCGUAGCGAUUCUGACGUGCAAAUCGAUCGUCAAAUUUGGGUAUAGGGGCGAAAGACUAAUCGAACCAUCUAGUAGCUGGUUCCUGC